Mus musculus (house mouse) is the source of this 541-nucleotide long non-coding RNA. RefSeq annotates it as predicted gene, 46826. The transcript is spliced from 3 exons. The record is from RefSeq and is a predicted model, not a curated record. Lineage: Eukaryota; Metazoa; Chordata; Mammalia; Rodentia; Muridae.
CUUGUCUUCAUCCAGAGUCAGGUGUGUCUGUGUGAGGGUGUCAGAUCUCCUGCCCCUGGAAUUACUGACAGUUGUGAGCGGCACAUGGAUGAUGGGAAUUGAACCCAGGUCCUUUGGCAGAGCAGUUAGAGAUCUUAACUGAUGGACCUUCUCUCCAGCACCCCCUUUGUCCUCUCCUUUGACUUGACCUGUUCUCUAGGUUCAAGAGAAUGCUGCAGUCUCCCACCUCCAGCAGGACUGAGGUUCCAUUGACCCGGAGGACACCUUUGUUCUUUGUUCCCACCCUGGAGCAGACCGUGAUGGAUGACGUACAGAACUCUUUCUCCCUAGCCUCCUUAGGGUCCCCAGCCCCACCCUACUGAAGGAAGCAUUCAGGGUGCCCCCACCCCCAAAUCCACUUCUGCCUUCUCCCUGCCUCGAUCCAUCUGAAGUCUCUCCCAUCGUCACCUGGUUCCUUGUCAUUUUCUCCCACAACAGUAUCUCCCCUAAUAAAAGCCAUCCUGUUAGGUUCCUAUUAGAGCCUUCCUCUGAGAUCCAGCCC